This 242-nucleotide ribosomal RNA is filed under the name uncultured bacterium. RNAcentral describes it as "partial 16S ribosomal RNA". It matches the Rfam family "Bacterial small subunit ribosomal RNA", at positions 118 to 354 of the family's 1533-position model. The record is from RNAcentral.
UGAGGAACAUGACCUUCGGCGGGGGAGUAGCCGGCCCAACGGCCGGGUAAUACCGCGUACGACCACAUGGGGACAUCCCUGAGUGGUGAAAGCAGCAAUGCGCCGAUGGAGUGCCUCGCGGCCUAUCAGCUAGUUGGUUGGGGUAAUGGCCCACCAAGGCGACGACGGGUAGCCGGCCUGAGAGGGUGACCGGCCACACUGGGACUGAGACACGGCCCAGACUCCGUACGGGAGGCAGCAGG